This 73-nucleotide transfer RNA is filed under the name Stegodyphus mimosarum. It matches the Rfam family "tRNA". From Rfam's summary of the family: Transfer RNA (tRNA) molecules are approximately 80 nucleotides in length. Their secondary structure includes four short double-helical elements and three loops (D, anti-codon, and T loops). Lineage: Eukaryota; Metazoa; Arthropoda; Arachnida; Araneae; Eresidae. The record is from Rfam by way of RNAcentral.
ACCUUCGUGGUGUAGUGGUCAGUACGCUCGACGCGUAACCGAGAGGUCCGUGGUUCGAUUCCCGGCGAAGGCG